UGCGUAGGCGGGCUAAUAAGUCAGUGGUGAAAUCUCUCGGCUCAACCUGGAAACUGCCAUUGAUACUGUUAGUCUUGAGUUCGGUUGAGGUAGGCGGAAUGUGUAAUGUAGCGGUGAAAUGCUUAGAUAUUACACAGAACACCAAUUGCGUAGGCAGCUUACUAGACCGACACUGACGCUGAGGCACGAAAGCGUGGGGAGCGAACAGGAUUAGAUACCCUGGUAGUCC
Molecule: ribosomal RNA, 229 nt
Filed under: uncultured bacterium
Lineage: Bacteria
Description: partial 16S ribosomal RNA
Rfam family: Bacterial small subunit ribosomal RNA
Source: RNAcentral